AUCACUGCUUAAUUGAGAACUUGACAAACAAAUGGAGGAGGAGGUCUUUUAUUUUUAAAAGGAAGAUUGAAGAAGAAGGGAAGAGAACAAAAAGGAGAUUUAGAGGUAGGAGAUUUAAAAAAAAAAUCUGGUCUACUUCUCUUUCUUCAACAUAAGCAGUAUUCUUCAUCUAUGAAAACCACUCCAGAAGUCCCUUAAAAUACCAUAUAAUGCUCUGCAAAUACCAGCUAUAAAACUAGCCUUUAACAGUUACAUAGACAAACUGACAACACAAGAAAACAGCCACUAAAACCUCCAAAUACUGCCUCAAAUCUCUUCCCAAAUACAGCAGCGAAAACCAGUCCAAACACACCUCACAAAAUAACUCCAUAACCACCAGUGCUACUAUUAGAAUUUUGGAGUUUCAAGUUUACAUAUUGUUGGUUUUGUUUGUGGUUCGAGAGGUCCGUCUAGGUUUCCGCCGGCAAAGGUUUACGGUCAUGGUCUUUGUUGUCGGCUCGAUGGUUAAUGUAAAGUUUGAUCCCGUCAUUAUAGAGGUCCAUUUUCAAUCUAAUCUUUUAUCCUGCAUUUGGAUCUAGCAAAAGAAAUUUCAUUAGCUGUGAGUAGUACAGGUUGUUUGCGUGCCAUAUUUUUGCCAUACUUUAAAGUUUAAUUUGGCCCUUUAACUUGGUACCAUGAUAUUUGCC
Molecule: long non-coding RNA, 686 nt
Filed under: Nicotiana benthamiana
Lineage: Eukaryota; Viridiplantae; Streptophyta; Magnoliopsida; Solanales; Solanaceae
Description: long non-coding RNA (NBEN_LNC033139)
Source: RNAcentral